UACCAGCACCCCGAGUGGUCGGGACGAUUAUUGGGCCUAAAGCAUCCGUAGCCGGUUUUACAAGUCCUCCGUUAAAUCCAGCUGCUUAACAGAUGGGCUGCGGAGGAUACUAUAAGACUAGGAGGCGGGAGAGGCAAGCGGUACUUAGUGGGUAGGGGUAAAAUCCGUUGAUCCAUUGAAGACCACCAGUGGCGAAGGCGGCUUGCCAGAACGCACUCGACGGUGAGGGAUGAAAGCUGGGGGAGCAAACCGG
RNAcentral lists this ribosomal RNA (253 nucleotides) under uncultured bacterium. RNAcentral describes it as "partial 16S ribosomal RNA". It matches the Rfam family "Archaeal small subunit ribosomal RNA", at positions 474 to 727 of the family's 1478-position model. The record is from RNAcentral.